AUUGAACGCUGGCGGCAUGCUUUACACAUGCAAGUCGAACGGUAACAGGCCUUCGGGUGCUGACGAGUGGCGAACGGGUGCGUAAUGCAUCGGAACGUACCCAGAGGUGGGGGAUAACGCAGCGAAAGCUGUGCUAAUACCGCAUGUGAUCUGAGGAUGAAAGCGGGGGACCGAGCAGCAAUGUUUGGCCUCGCGCCUUUGGAGCGGCCGAUGUCGGAUUAGCUAGUUGGUGGGGUAAAGGCCUACCAAGGCGACGAUCCGUAGCUGGUCUGAGAGGACGACCAGCCACACUGGGACUGAGACACGGCCCAGACUCCUACGGGAGGCAGCAGUGGGGAAUUUUGGACAAUGGGCGCAAGCCUGAUCCAGCAAUGCCGCGUGCGGGAAGAAGGCCUUCGGGUUGUAAACCGCUCUUGGCAGGAACGAAACGGUGUCCGCUAAUACCGGGCGCUAAUGACGGUACCUGCAGAAUAAGCACCGGCUAACUACGUG
This 492-nucleotide ribosomal RNA is filed under the name uncultured bacterium. Its description in RNAcentral is "partial 16S ribosomal RNA". It matches the Rfam family "Bacterial small subunit ribosomal RNA", at positions 29 to 507 of the family's 1533-position model. The record is from RNAcentral.